CAUGCCGUAAACGAUGUCUACUAGCCGUUGGGGUCUUUGAGACCUUAGUGGCGCAGCUAACGCGAUAAGUAGACCGCCUGGGGAGUACGGUCGCAAGACUAAAACUCAAAUGAAUUGACGGGGGCCCGCACAAGCGGUGGAGCAUGUGGUUUAAUUCGAUGCAACGCGAAGAACCUUACCUGGCCUUGACAUACUAAGAACUUUCCAGAGAUGGAUUGGUGCCUUCGGGAACUUAGAUACAGGUGC
This 246-nucleotide ribosomal RNA is filed under the name uncultured Acinetobacter sp. RNAcentral describes it as "partial 16S ribosomal RNA". It matches the Rfam family "Bacterial small subunit ribosomal RNA", at positions 796 to 1041 of the family's 1533-position model. Lineage: Bacteria; Pseudomonadati; Pseudomonadota; Gammaproteobacteria; Moraxellales; Moraxellaceae. The record is from RNAcentral.